Uranotaenia lowii is the source of this 259-nucleotide long non-coding RNA. RefSeq lists it as uncharacterized. The transcript is spliced from 3 exons. NCBI's taxonomy places the organism in Eukaryota, Metazoa, Arthropoda, Insecta, Diptera, Culicidae. The record is from RefSeq and is a predicted model, not a curated record.
CCGAACGGGAAUCGCUAUCAAAUUUUUUACAAACAGCUGAAAAAGAGGGAGAACGAUGUUAUAUAUACCUUGAUUGAAUGAUGCUAUUCGAGAAGAUGCAAUAAAUUGUGAACGAUUUACUGGCUAUAGAACUGACCGCCAAAUCACAACACACCAAUGACGAUAUUUGAACUCCGACCGUCUUUAAAAUUGAACUAAGAUACUCAACUUCACUUUACGAGGACGAUCGAGCUCGGAGAAGGUAUCACUUUGACGCCUG